RNAcentral lists this ribosomal RNA (2225 nucleotides) under Periweissella beninensis. RNAcentral's name for it is "partial 23S ribosomal RNA". It matches the Rfam family "Bacterial large subunit ribosomal RNA", at positions 695 to 2925 of the family's 2925-position model. The record is from RNAcentral. Lineage: Bacteria; Bacillati; Bacillota; Bacilli; Lactobacillales; Lactobacillaceae.
UUUAGUAUGUUGUUGUAGACCCGAAACCAGGUGACCUACCCAUGUCCAGGAUGAAGAUGCGGUAAAACGCAUUGGAGGUCCGAACCCGUGUCUGUUGAAAAAGGCUGGGAUGAGGUGUGGGUAGCGGUGAAAUUCCAAACGAACUUGGAGAUAGCUGGUUCUCUCCGAAAUAGCUUUAGGGCUAGCCUCGGAAUUAAGAAUCGUGGAGGUAGAGCCACUGUUUGGACUAGGGGCCCAUCUCGGGUUACCAAAUUCAGAUAAACUCCGAAUGCCAUAGAUUUAUGUCCGGGAGUCAGACGAUGAGUGAUAAGAUCCACCGUCGAAAGGGGAACAGCCCAGACCGCCAGUUAAGGUCCCUAAAUAUAUGUUAAGUGGAAAAGGAUGUGGAGUUGCAUAGACAACUAGGAUGUUGGCUCAGAAGCAGCCACCAUUUAAAGAGUGCGUAAUAGCUCACUAGUCGAGUGAUUCUGCGCCGAAAAUGUACCGGGGCUAAACAUAUUACCGAAACUGCGGGUGCCACGUAAGUGGCGCGAUAGGAGAGCGUUCUAAGGGCGAUGAAGGUAGACCGUGAGGACUGCUGGAGCGCUUAGAAGUGAGAAUGCCGGUAUGAGUAGCGAAAGACAGGUGAGAAUCCUGUCCACCGAAUGACUAAGGUUUCCUGGGGAAGGCUCGUCCACCCAGGGUUAGUCGGGACCUAAGGCGAGGCCGAGAGGCGUAGUCGAUGGAUAACAGGUUGAUAUUCCUGUACUAGGUUAUAUUUGUUUGAACGAUGGAGGGACGCAGAAGGAUAAUGGAUGCACACGACUGGAAAUGUGUGUUUAAAUCGUAAGUCUUGAUAAGAGUUAAAUGCUUUUAUCUUUAAGGACAAGCGAUGAUGAGGACCGAAAUAUAAGUAGGGAAGUCCAUGAUUUCACGCUGCCGAGAAAAGCUUCUAGUGAGAAUAUACCUACCCGUACCGCAAACCGACACAGGUAGUCGAGGAGAGAAUCCUAAGGUGUGCGAGAGAACUCUCGUUAAGGAACUCGGCAAAAUGACCCCGUAACUUCGGGAGAAGGGGUGCUGACCGCAAGGUCAGCCGCAGUGAAUAGGCCCAGGCGACUGUUUAUCAAAAACACAGGUUUCUGCAAAAUCGUAAGAUGACGUAUAGGGGCUGACGCCUGCCCGGUGCUGGAAGGUUAAAAGGAUGGCUUAGCGUAAGCGAAGGUCAGAAUUGAAGCCCCAGUAAACGGCGGCCGUAACUAUAACGGUCCUAAGGUAGCGAAAUUCCUUGUCGGGUAAGUUCCGACCCGCACGAAAGGCGUAACGAUCUGGGCACUGUCUCAACGAGAGACUCGGUGAAAUUUAAAUACCCGUGAAGAUGCGGGUUACCCGCGACAGGACGGAAAGACCCCAUGGAGCUUUACUGUAGCUUGAUAUUGAGUGUUUGUGCAGCUUGUACAGGAUAGGUAGGAGCCGUAGAAAUCGGGACGCUAGUUUCGAUAGAGGCGUUGGUGGGAUACUACCCUCGCUGUAUGACCACUCUAACUCGCACCACUAAGCGUGGUGGAAGACAGUGUCUGGCAGGCAGUUUGACUGGGGCGGUCGCCUCCUAAAAGGUAACGGAGGCGCCCAAAGGUUCCCUCAGAAUGGUUGGAAAUCAUUCGCAGAGUGUAAAGGCAGAAGGGAGCUUGACUGUGAGACUAACAGGUCGAGCAGGUACGAAAGUAGGGCUUAGUGAUCCGGUGGUUCCGCAUGGAAGGGCCAUCGCUCAACGGAUAAAAGCUACCCUGGGGAUAACAGGCUUAUCUCCCCCAAGAGUCCACAUCGACGGGGAGGUUUGGCACCUCGAUGUCGGCUCAUCGCAUCCUGGGGCUGUAGUCGGUCCCAAGGGUUGGGCUGUUCGCCCAUUAAAGCGGUACGCGAGCUGGGUUCAGAACGUCGUGAGACAGUUCGGUCCCUAUCCGUCGCGGGCGCAGGAAAUUUGAGAGGAGCUGUCCUUAGUACGAGAGGACCGGGAUGGACAUACCGCUGGUGUACCAGUUGUUCCGCCAGGAGCAUCGCUGGGUAGCUAUGUAUGGAUGAGAUAAACGCUGAAAGCAUCUAAGUGUGAAACUCGCCUCGAGAUGAGAUUUCCCAUUUCUUUAUGAAAGUAAGACCCCUCAAAGAUGAUGAGGUAGAUAGGUUAGAAGUGGAAGUACGGUGACGUAUGGAGCGGACUAAUACUAAUCGGUCGAGGACUUAACCAC